GGCACCAUGGCCGAAUGGCCAAGGCGACGGGGUCUGUUCGACUGAAGAAUUUCUUAAUUCAUUUACCUCGUUGAUGCAGGUUCAAUUCCUGCUUGUGUUG
Coprinopsis sp. MPI-PUGE-AT-0042 is the source of this 100-nucleotide non-coding RNA. The record is from the annotation of a GenBank genome assembly. NCBI's taxonomy places the organism in Eukaryota, Fungi, Basidiomycota, Agaricomycetes, Agaricales, Psathyrellaceae.